CAGUCGCCACGGGAAUACGUAGGUGGCAAGCGUUGUCCGGAAUUAUUGGGCGCAAAGGGCUCGCAGGCGGUUUCUUAAGUCUGAUGUGAAAGCCCCCGGCUCAACCGGGGAGGGUCAUUGGAAACUGGGAAACUUGAGUGCAGAAGAGGAGAGUGGAAUUCCAUGUGUAGCAGUGAAAUGCGUAGAGAUGUGGAGGAACACCAGUGGCGAAGGCGACUCUCUGGUCUGUAACUGACGCUGAGGAGCGAAAGCGUGGGGAGCGAACAGGAUUAGAUACCCGCGUAGUCCCUGUCUCUUAUAC
RNAcentral lists this ribosomal RNA (301 nucleotides) under uncultured bacterium. Its description in RNAcentral is "partial 16S ribosomal RNA". It matches the Rfam family "Bacterial small subunit ribosomal RNA", at positions 509 to 807 of the family's 1533-position model. The record is from RNAcentral.